GGAAUUGUGGCUCAGUGGCAGAGCCCUUGCCUUGAAAGUAUGAAGCAUUGGGUUUGAUCCUCAGCACCA
RNAcentral lists this transfer RNA (69 nucleotides) under Ictidomys tridecemlineatus (thirteen-lined ground squirrel). Its description in RNAcentral is "Spermophilus tridecemlineatus (thirteen-lined ground squirrel) tRNA". It matches the Rfam family "tRNA". From Rfam's summary of the family: Transfer RNA (tRNA) molecules are approximately 80 nucleotides in length. Their secondary structure includes four short double-helical elements and three loops (D, anti-codon, and T loops). The record is from Rfam by way of RNAcentral. Lineage: Eukaryota; Metazoa; Chordata; Mammalia; Rodentia; Sciuridae.